GCCUGAGAGAAUCCAGACCUAUCUCCUCCUAUCUAAGGUAGCUAGCUGACCUUGAGGAAGCUCAGGCCCGUGGCCCCAGGGGGUGGUGGUGGGACCCGGGCCAGAUGGAAAGGUGCCACCACUCCCACUCCAUACUGCUCUCAAGUACCUGCGCUGAGGCAGACCUGCCCGGACAGUGCCAGCGACUGGCUGAGGCCAGCAGCUCUCCUCACCGGGGACUCCAUUGCAGACUGGAAGGGCUCUUGACAUUUGGGCUGGGACAGUUCUUUGGGUGUGGCUCUGCCUAGCCCUGUUCAGCAGAUAAUGACACCUCCUCCGGCCUAAUAAUUGAAAAGACUUCUUGCAGGGUGGGGCAGGGGAGAGGAUGCUGAUAAUGCCAGCACUUGAGAGGUCGAGGCUGGAGAAGUAUCAAGCUUCAGGCUGGCCAGAGCUACACAAUGGCCUUCAGAAGUCAACAGCCAAAGGGUCCCUGUCCUGGUGAGGAUGGGGGCAGGACUCCCAUCCAGACGCUCUAGGACCCUGCCACUGCAGACCCCUGGUGAGAUCCUAAUACAGUCCAUCCAGUGUCAGCUCGCUGAGAAUGGCCACGGAAGUGUAUCCUGUCUCAGGCAUUAUUCCCUUUUGUUGCCCCCUCAUGAGGUGGAGUUGGCCCAGGCUGCUUGUUGAAUGAAAUACAGUGAAAGCAAUA
Long non-coding RNA from Mesocricetus auratus (golden hamster), 688 nucleotides. RefSeq lists it as uncharacterized. NCBI's taxonomy places the organism in Eukaryota, Metazoa, Chordata, Mammalia, Rodentia, Cricetidae. The transcript is spliced from 2 exons. The record is from RefSeq and is a predicted model, not a curated record.